AGAUUGACCCCAAAGUAGCCUUUCCUAGGAGAGCACAUCCAAAGAUGGUAACCAGGACGAAAAAAAUAUUCGUCGGAGGAUUAUCCGCGCCUACCACAUUAGAAGAUGUAAAAAGUUACUUCGAGCAAUUUGGACCGAUAGAGGACGCGAUGCUCAUGUUUGACAAGCAAACAAAUAGGCAUAGAGGU
Long non-coding RNA from Anoplophora glabripennis (Asian longhorned beetle), 188 nucleotides. RefSeq lists it as uncharacterized. The record is from RefSeq and is a predicted model, not a curated record. NCBI's taxonomy places the organism in Eukaryota, Metazoa, Arthropoda, Insecta, Coleoptera, Cerambycidae. The transcript has 3 exons.